CUUCGGGAAACCGGAGCUAAUACCGGAUAACACGAAGACCGCAUGGUCUUUGGUUGAAAGACGGCUUUGGCUGUCACUUACGGAUGGGCCCGCGGCGCAUUAGCUAGUUGGUGAGGUAACGGCUCACCAAGGCGACGAUGCGUAGCCGACCUGAGAGGGUGAUCGGCCACACUGGGACUGAGACACGGCCCAGACUCCUACGGGAGGCAGCAGUAGGGAAUCUUCCGCAAUGGACGAAAGUCUGACGGAGCAACGCCGCGUGAGCGAAGAAGGUCUUCGGAUUGUAAAGCUCUGUUGUUGGGGAAGAAUAAGUACCGUUCGAAUAGGGCGGUACCGUGACGGUACCUAACGAGAAAGCCACGGCUAACUACGUGC
This 375-nucleotide ribosomal RNA is filed under the name uncultured Devosia sp. RNAcentral's name for it is "bacterial SSU rRNA". It matches the Rfam family "Bacterial small subunit ribosomal RNA", at positions 147 to 508 of the family's 1533-position model. Lineage: Bacteria; Pseudomonadati; Pseudomonadota; Alphaproteobacteria; Hyphomicrobiales; Devosiaceae. The record is from RNAcentral.